UACAGGGGGCGCGAGCGUUGCUCGGAAUCACUGGGCGUAAAGCGUACGCAGGCGGGUCGAUAAGUCCGUUGUGAAAUCCCGGGGCUCAACCCCGGAACUGCAGUGGAGACUGUCGAUCUUGAGUACGGGAGAGGAGAGCGGAAUUCCUGGUGUAGAGGUGAAAUUCGUAGAUAUCAGGAGGAACACCGGUGGCGAAAGCGGCUCUCUGGCCCGAUACUGACGCUCAUGUACGAAAGCGUGGGGAGCAAACAGG
Molecule: ribosomal RNA, 253 nt
Filed under: uncultured bacterium
Lineage: Bacteria
Description: partial 16S ribosomal RNA
Rfam family: Bacterial small subunit ribosomal RNA
Source: RNAcentral